Molecule: non-coding RNA, 311 nt
Organism: Pelobates cultripes (western spadefoot toad)
Lineage: Eukaryota; Metazoa; Chordata; Amphibia; Anura; Pelobatidae
Source: the annotation of a GenBank genome assembly
CAAAAACCUAGGAGAGGGUGCUGUUCACUUUUUGUUCUAUUCCUCCAGUCUCUACAGAUGCCCUACCUGCCUUCUGUGACGUCACACUGACUCUUCUUCUUGUCCAACCCAAUGCUCCUUUAACAUUGGGGACAAAAAGCGCAUGUGCGGCCAGCGCUGUGAUACUCCGAUCAAAUGGUGGUUCAUGGUGAGAACUGAGUUUUACUCGGUUCUCGCAGCAGAAGCCUCUCUAGUGGUUAUCAGGAAAACAGACACUAGAGGAGUAUUUAUUUCCUGUAAUGUAAGCAUUGCUGUUUCUAAACCAAAUGUUU